AACGAACGCUAGCGGUGUGGAUUAGGCAUGCAAGUCGUGCGCGAAAGUCUUCGGACAAGUAAAGCGGCGUAAGGGUGAGUAACACGUAACCAACGUACCCUGCAGAUUGGAAUAACCUCUGGAAACGGUGGAUAAUGCCAAAUGGUCUCUCGGGUGGCAUCACCCGAAGAGUAAACGGCGGCUUCGGCUGCUGCUGCGGGAGCGGGUUGCGGCCUAUCAGCUUGUUGGUGGGGUAACGGCCUACCAAGGCGAUGACGGGUAGCGGGUCUGAGAGGAUGAUCCGUCACACUGGGACUGAGACACUGCCCAGACUCCUACGGGAGGCUGCAGUCGAGAAUCUUCCACAAUGGGCGAAAGCCUGAUGGAGCGACACCGCGUGCAGGAUGAAGGCCCUAGGGUUGUAAACUGCUGUCACGCUAUAGGAACCCACGGCAGUUAAUAGUUGUCGUGCUGACUAAAGCGAGAGGAAGCGCCGGCUAACUCCG
RNAcentral lists this ribosomal RNA (485 nucleotides) under uncultured Planctomycetota bacterium. Its description in RNAcentral is "bacterial SSU rRNA". It matches the Rfam family "Bacterial small subunit ribosomal RNA", at positions 29 to 505 of the family's 1533-position model. The record is from RNAcentral. Lineage: Bacteria; Pseudomonadati; Planctomycetota.